GGGCCGUUGGAGCAGACGGAAGCUCACCCGGCUCUCACCCGGGAGGUCGCGGGUUCGAACCCCGCACGGCCCA
Molecule: transfer RNA, 73 nt
Filed under: Micromonospora auratinigra
Lineage: Bacteria; Bacillati; Actinomycetota; Actinomycetes; Micromonosporales; Micromonosporaceae
Description: tRNA_Glu_CTC
Rfam family: tRNA
About the family: Transfer RNA (tRNA) molecules are approximately 80 nucleotides in length. Their secondary structure includes four short double-helical elements and three loops (D, anti-codon, and T loops).
Source: RNAcentral